CGGGGGAUGGCGGCAGAGCCGGUGGGCUGCGGCGGCUCCAGGUACCUGCCUGAGCGUGGCACUGCGCAGUCUGCCCCCGGGUCGCAGGGGCGCUCCUGAGCUUCGCGGGGCCGCCUCUAGGGCUGCCUGCGCGGAGAGCCGACCGCGGCCGACGUCGGUGUUAAGUGGCCGCCCCGGCCGGCUACCCGGAGCCAAGAGCAGGCGGCGCAGCCUGAGCGGGACGUGGCCACGCUGGCGAGGCGGCCAAAAUCAACAGCUGAUUUGGAUACCAUCAAGACACCUGAAACCUUAUCAUGAGCCAGAUUCCGGGAGGAUCCCGAGGACCCCUCAGUUGCAGCCAUGUUGAGACUGAUGGCUGAGGAGGACCCCAACUGUCACAAGCAACACCCGUCUAACACAGCCACCCACCUGGGGACAGAUCAAGAAGCUGUCACAGAUGGCGGAAGAAAACCUGAGGAAAGCGGGACAGCCAGUCACAAUGGGUAAUUUAAUGGUAGCUAUGAUAGCGGUGAUCACCAUUGCCGUAAGUAUUCCUUCAACAAGAGCUGACACAGAGAACAAUUAUUCUUAUUGGGCAUAUUUAUCAAUCUUGGCUGGCAAUAAUGCCUGGAUGUAAUCACUCUAUCACACAGUUACACAUGCUUUCUGAUCUCAGUAUUUACCAUAAUAAAUCUGCUCCUAUAAUUGAGGCAUACCGCCCUCAAAAACCUAUUUGUACACAGGAUUGGACCCAGUUAGACAAAAUGAACAUACUUGUUUAGGAAGAUUGCAUUGCAGAACAGGCAGAGGUGCUGCACAACGAUUCCUAUGGAAUCAUUAUUAAUUGGUCCCCUAAGGGGAUGUUUAGCUUGAAUUGCACCUCUCAGUCUGUGUGCCACUGCUACACUAUGUUUAGAUGAUCUGAACAAAAUGGUCAGAUGGUAGAAAUGAUAAAAAGUACGGCAAGAGUUCCUCUUAUCUGAAACCAUGGCGGUAUAGUGGCACCUCAACCUCAGAUGAUAUGGCCCGUUGUAGGAGCUAAACAUAAGAUAAGGAUUUGUGGCUUAAUAAGAUCAAAAAUUUGGG
This 1065-nucleotide long non-coding RNA is filed under the name Homo sapiens (human). Its description in RNAcentral is "long non-coding RNA NONHSAT165289.1". Lineage: Eukaryota; Metazoa; Chordata; Mammalia; Primates; Hominidae. The record is from RNAcentral.